This 255-nucleotide unclassified non-coding RNA is filed under the name Hevea brasiliensis (rubber tree). Lineage: Eukaryota; Viridiplantae; Streptophyta; Magnoliopsida; Malpighiales; Euphorbiaceae. The record is from RNAcentral.
UCGUAUUCGGCAAAUACAUAUCUACAUUUUCUGGGUUUGGUGAAUGUCAAAAAAUGUAGAAAUGUAUUUGCCGAAUUCGAAACAAACUAUCAUUGCCAUCUCUGAUCUUAUGUGUUUCCACUGAAGUUGCAAAAAUAAUUCAAGAUAUUUGUAUCAAGACCAAAAUUGAACGCAGUUUGUGUAUUAUGACAAAACUGGAGCAGCAGCAAAUUCAGCAAAGUUUUUAAGUGUCUUCUUUGCACGCCAAUAGACAGC